GCAGUUAUUGAUGGAGCGGUUGUUGCGGGCUUCGUCGGAAGUGAGACACGUGGUGGCGAAAACGCCCGGGAAUUUGUUGGCGAAUAUCCCGACUCCGACGCCCGUUCCGCAAGCAAGGAGGCCACGGGUUUCGACAUCGGGCGAGGCGGUGGUACAUGAUGAGACCCGACGGCCGACUUCGGCGCCGACGUUGUAAUAGGAGGUGGUACCGAGGUCUUCGACUUCGAUGCUGAGGGAUUGGAGGUGGGAUACCAUCGCGUCUUUCAGCUCGGCGCCGAAGGAGUCCGCUCCCGCGAUGAUCUUGAGGGGGCGAGGUGCGGUGGCGGUGGCUGUGGCUGCAGCGGGAUCGGCCAUGGUACGGACGUAGGGGAGUAACU
RNAcentral lists this long non-coding RNA (377 nucleotides) under Theobroma cacao (cacao). RNAcentral's name for it is "long non-coding RNA (TCAC_LNC003592)". Lineage: Eukaryota; Viridiplantae; Streptophyta; Magnoliopsida; Malvales; Malvaceae. The record is from RNAcentral.